RNAcentral lists this unclassified non-coding RNA (241 nucleotides) under Mrakia aquatica. Its description in RNAcentral is "partial internal transcribed spacer region". The stretch from base 1 to 46 matches the Rfam family "Eukaryotic small subunit ribosomal RNA", at positions 1786 to 1831 of the family's 1831-position model. RNAcentral also lists the same sequence under 2 other names. The record is from RNAcentral. Lineage: Eukaryota; Fungi; Basidiomycota; Tremellomycetes; Cystofilobasidiales; Mrakiaceae.
AAGUCGUAACAAGGUUUCCGUAGGUGAACCUGCGGAAGGAUCACUAGUGAUUAAAUCGAGAGCGUCUUUAUUGACCUCUCACCCUUCACAUCCACAUACACCCUGUGAAUCGUUUGGCUUUUCAUUAACAGAGCGCAAGCUCGACGAGUGAAAAGUCAUCAUUUAUACAUACCCCAGUCUUAUGAAUGUAACAGUUUUAAUAAACAUAAUAAAACUUUUAACAACGGAUCUCUUGGUUCUC